UACGGGGGGAGCAAGCGUUGUUCGGAUUUACUGGGCGUAAAGGGCGCGUAGGCGGUCGUGACAAGUCACUUGUGAAAUCUCCGGGCUUAACUCGGAACGGUCAAGUGAUACUGUCGGACUAGAGUACAGAAGGGGCAACUGGAAUUCUCGGUGUAGCGGUGAAAUGCGUAGAUAUCGAGAGGAAUACCUGCGGCGAAGGCGGGUUGCUGGGCCGUAACUGACGCUGAGGAGCGAAAGCGUGGGGGAGCGAACAGG
This 255-nucleotide ribosomal RNA is filed under the name uncultured bacterium. RNAcentral describes it as "partial 16S ribosomal RNA". It matches the Rfam family "Bacterial small subunit ribosomal RNA", at positions 524 to 776 of the family's 1533-position model. The record is from RNAcentral.